ACCAGAAGUCGGUAGUCUAACCGCAAGGAGGGCGCCGACCACGGUGUGGCCGAUGACUGGGGUG
This 64-nucleotide ribosomal RNA is filed under the name uncultured bacterium. Its description in RNAcentral is "partial 16S ribosomal RNA". The record is from RNAcentral.